This 468-nucleotide ribosomal RNA is filed under the name uncultured bacterium. Its description in RNAcentral is "partial 16S ribosomal RNA". It matches the Rfam family "Bacterial small subunit ribosomal RNA", at positions 28 to 507 of the family's 1533-position model. The record is from RNAcentral.
GACGAACGCUGGCGGCGUGCUUAACACAUGCAAGUCGAACGGAAAGGCCCUGCUUGUGUGGGGUGCUCGAUUGGCGAACGGGUGAGUAACACGUGAGUAACCUGCCCUACACUUUGGGAUAACUUCACGAAACUGGGGCUAAUACCGGAUAGGAGCUCCUGCUGCAUGGUGGGGGUUGGAACGUUUCGGCGGGUGGGGAUGGACGGGCGGCUUAUCAGCUUGCUGGUGGGGUAGUGGCUUACCCAGGCUUUGACGGGUAGCCGGCCUGAGAGGGUGGACGGCCACAUUGGGACUGAGAUACGGACCAGACUCCUAUGGGAGGCAGCAGUGGGGAACAUUGCACAAUGGGCGGAAGCCUGAUGCAGCAACGCCGCGGGCGGGAUGACGGCCUUCGGGUUGUAAACAGCUGUCGCCUGUGACGAAGCGUGAGUGACGGUAAUGGGUAAAGAAGCACCGGCUAACUACGUG